Long non-coding RNA from Carassius carassius (crucian carp), 400 nucleotides. RefSeq lists it as uncharacterized. The transcript is spliced from 3 exons. The record is from RefSeq and is a predicted model, not a curated record. NCBI's taxonomy places the organism in Eukaryota, Metazoa, Chordata, Actinopteri, Cypriniformes, Cyprinidae.
GACAGAGACUUCCACAUUCACAACUACUGCUGAAAUAUCCACUACUAGUGUAGCAGAAUCAUCUACAACAGUGGAGCCAGUAUAUGAAGUGAAUAUUAAGCUGGAAUUCCGCUCUAAAGAUUCUUUCAUAGAUGACCUCAAUGAUCGACAGUCUCCUGCUUUCAAAAACAGGGCUAUGCUUGUUCAGGAUAUUCUUACACUUAUUUUCAAGAAUUUCCAUUCCUUCCUUAGAGUCACUGUGCUACUAUUCAGCAAGGGAUCGGUCAUUACCACAUCAGAACUUGCUUUCAACUCUACACAGACUGUGCCAUCAGAACUCCAAAUUGCAGAAGAAUUACUGAGUGAUGAUACAACUAUCAAUGCCCUGAACAUAACUUCAUUUUCAGUUAAUAAUACAGGU